ACAGGGUGACAGCCCCGUACACAAAAAUGCACAUAUUGUGAGCUUGAUGAGUAGGGCGGGACACGUGGUAUCCUGUCUGAAUAUGGGGGGACCAUCCUCCAAGGCUAAAUACUCCUGACUGACCGAUAGUGAACCAGUACCGUGAGGGAAAGGCGAAAAGAACCCCGGCGAGGGGAGUGAAAAAGAACCUGAAACCGUGUACGUACAAGCAGUGGGAGCACGCUUAGGCGUGUGACUGCGUACCUUUUGUAUAAUGGGUCAGCGACUUAUAUUCUGUAGCAAGGUUAACCGAAUAGGGGAGCCGAAGGGAAACCGAGUCUUAACUGGGCGUUAAGUUGCAGGGUAUAGACCCGAAACCCGGUGAUCUAGCCAUGGGCAGGUUGAAGGUUGGGUAACACUAACUGGAGGACCGAACCGACUAAUGUUGAAAAAUUAGCGGAUGACUUGUGGCUGGGGGUGAAAGGCCAAUCAAACCGGGAGAUAGCUGGUUCUCCCCGAAAGCUAUUUAGGUAGCGCCUCGUGAAUUCAUCUCCGGGGGUAGAGCACUGUUUCGGCA
RNAcentral lists this ribosomal RNA (556 nucleotides) under Shigella sonnei. RNAcentral's name for it is "partial 23S ribosomal RNA". It matches the Rfam family "Bacterial large subunit ribosomal RNA", at positions 359 to 920 of the family's 2925-position model. Lineage: Bacteria; Pseudomonadati; Pseudomonadota; Gammaproteobacteria; Enterobacterales; Enterobacteriaceae. The record is from RNAcentral.